Molecule: non-coding RNA, 26 nt
Filed under: Homo sapiens (human)
Lineage: Eukaryota; Metazoa; Chordata; Mammalia; Primates; Hominidae
Source: RNAcentral
UUCAGGGAUGGUGUCCUGGAGGAGCC